UGAGGGAAUAUUGGUCAAUGGGCGAGAGCCUGAACCAGCCAAGUAGCGUGCAGGAUGACGGCCCUAUGGGUUGUAAACUGCUUUUAUAAGGGAAUAAAGUGGGGCUCGUGAGCUCUUUUGCAUGUACCUUAUGAAUAAGGACCGGCUAAUUCCGUGCCAGCAGCCGCGGUAAUACGGAAGGUCCGGGCGUUAUCCGGAUUUAUUGGGUUUAAAGGGAGCGUAGGCCGUCGUUUAAGCGUGUUGUGAAAUGCCGCGGCUCAACCGUGGCACUGCAGCGCGAACUGGAUGACUUGAGUUCGCGGGAGGUAGGCGGAAUUCGUGGUGUAGCGGUGAAAUGCUUAGAUAUCACGAAG
RNAcentral lists this ribosomal RNA (353 nucleotides) under uncultured Prevotella sp. RNAcentral describes it as "bacterial SSU rRNA". It matches the Rfam family "Bacterial small subunit ribosomal RNA", at positions 354 to 704 of the family's 1533-position model. Lineage: Bacteria; Pseudomonadati; Bacteroidota; Bacteroidia; Bacteroidales; Prevotellaceae. The record is from RNAcentral.